AUACGUAGGGUGCGAGCGUUAAUCGGAAUUACUGGGCGUAAAGCGUGCGCAGGCGGUUUUGUAAGCCAGAUGUGAAAUCCCCGGGCUUAACCUGGGAAUUGCAUUUGGGACUGCAAGGCUGGUGCGUGGGAGAGGAGACUGGAAUUCCUGGUGGAGCAGUGAAAUGCGUAGAUAUCAGGAGGAAUACCGAUGGCGAAGGCAGGUCUCUGGGCUGACACUGACGCUCAUGCACGAAAGCGUGGGGAGCAAACAGGAUUAGAUACCCUGGUAGUCCACGCCCUAAACGAUGUCGACUGGUUGUUGGGGGUUUGACACUCUCAGUAACGAAGCUAACGCGUGAAGUCGACCGCCUGGGGAGUACGGCCGCAAGGUUAAAACUCAAAGGAAUUGACGGGG
RNAcentral lists this ribosomal RNA (396 nucleotides) under uncultured bacterium. RNAcentral's name for it is "partial 16S ribosomal RNA". It matches the Rfam family "Bacterial small subunit ribosomal RNA", at positions 523 to 918 of the family's 1533-position model. The record is from RNAcentral.